GCCUUCUUAGCUCAGUGGUAGAGCGCGUGGCUUUUAACCACGUGGUCGUGGGUUAUUGUACGCA
This 64-nucleotide transfer RNA is filed under the name Phaseolus vulgaris (common bean). It matches the Rfam family "tRNA", at positions 1 to 58 of the family's 71-position model. From Rfam's summary of the family: Transfer RNA (tRNA) molecules are approximately 80 nucleotides in length. Their secondary structure includes four short double-helical elements and three loops (D, anti-codon, and T loops). Further hydrogen bonds mediate the characteristic L-shaped molecular structure. tRNAs have two regions of fundamental functional importance: the anti-codon, which is responsible for specific mRNA codon recognition, and the 3' end, to which the tRNAs corresponding amino acid is attached (by aminoacyl-tRNA synthetases). tRNAs cope with the degeneracy of the genetic code in two manners: having more than one tRNA (with a specific anti-codon) for a particular amino acid; and 'wobble' base-pairing, i.e. permitting non-standard base-pairing at the 3rd anti-codon position. Lineage: Eukaryota; Viridiplantae; Streptophyta; Magnoliopsida; Fabales; Fabaceae. The record is from Rfam by way of RNAcentral.